UCUGUAACUGGCAGCACUUGCUUAGGGCUCCUAAGAUUGGCUCCUUAUGGGGUUGGCUUUUUCAUGAACUUCGGUGUGAGAAACAGUGGCUGAAAACAGACUGACAUGAGGAAAUGGAUGGGAACUAGAGUAAGCGCGUCUCCCCACUUCCUGAACAGGGUCUUCCUUGGAUGCCUUUGAAUUGUGCCCUCUACCAAAUACCCUCCCACCUUGUAGACAGAGACAUGGUGAGUUUGUUUCACUUCCUGCCAGUGCUCACUGUCCUACCUGAUGCGGGUCAGCUAGAACACUUGAUCAGGGCUAUAGCCCCAGAUAUA
RNAcentral lists this long non-coding RNA (317 nucleotides) under Homo sapiens (human). Its description in RNAcentral is "HSALNT0330453". The record is from RNAcentral. Lineage: Eukaryota; Metazoa; Chordata; Mammalia; Primates; Hominidae.